GGUGGCUCAAUGGUAGAGCGCUUGCCUUUCAUUCAUGAGGCCCUGGGUUCAAUUCCUCAGCACCA
Non-coding RNA from Dipodomys ordii (Ord's kangaroo rat), 65 nucleotides. The record is from Rfam. Lineage: Eukaryota; Metazoa; Chordata; Mammalia; Rodentia; Heteromyidae.